AGAGUUUGAUCCUGGCUCAGAACGAACGCUGGCGGCAUGCCUAACACAUGCAAGUCGAACGAUGCUUUCGGGCAUAGUGGCGCACGGGUGCGUAACGCGUGGGAAUCUGCCCCUUGGUUCGGAAUAACAGUUAGAAAUGACUGCUAAUACCGGAUGACGACGUAAGUCCAAAGAUUUAUCGCCGAGGGAUGAGCCCGCGUAGGAUUAGCUAGUUGGUGUGGUAAAGGCGGCACCCAAGGCGACGAUCCUUAGCUGGUCUGAGAGGAUGAUCAGCCACACUGGGACUGAGACACGGCCCAGACUCCUACGGGAGGCAGCAGUGGGGAAUAUUGGACAAUGGGCGCAAGCCUGAUCCAGCAAUGCCGCGUGAGUGAUGAAGGCCUUAGGGUUGUAAAGCUCUUUUACCCGUGAUGAUAAUGACAGUAGCGGGAGAAUAAGCCCCGGCUAACUCCGUG
Molecule: ribosomal RNA, 455 nt
Filed under: uncultured bacterium
Lineage: Bacteria
Description: bacterial SSU rRNA
Rfam family: Bacterial small subunit ribosomal RNA
Source: RNAcentral